Molecule: long non-coding RNA, 229 nt
Filed under: Mustela putorius furo (domestic ferret)
Lineage: Eukaryota; Metazoa; Chordata; Mammalia; Carnivora; Mustelidae
Description: lncRNA (ENSMPUG00000026317.1)
Source: RNAcentral
CCUCCACCAGCCCCACAGGGAGGGAGAAAGCCAGAGGCCUGCUCCAAACAUGGGCCAAGAGAGACUCUACUGGGAGAGGAAAGGCCCCAGACAGUUUCUCGGUGAAAGUGAGCAUUAAAAGGACAUGACACAGACCUGGACUGAAUCCCAGUCACCCCCAGCCAUGUGACUUUGGGGAGAGACAGUAGACCCCUCUGGAUAUCAGCUCUCAUUUCGGUAAAAGGGGGAU